RNAcentral lists this ribosomal RNA (253 nucleotides) under uncultured bacterium. RNAcentral describes it as "partial 16S ribosomal RNA". It matches the Rfam family "Bacterial small subunit ribosomal RNA", at positions 524 to 776 of the family's 1533-position model. The record is from RNAcentral.
UACGUAGGGUGCGAGCGUUAAUCGGAAUUACUGGGCCUAAAGCGCACGUAGGUGGUCCGCUAAGUCGCGUGUGAAAUCCCUCGGCUCAACCGAGGAAUUGCGGGCGAUACUGGCGGGCUAGAGAUCGGGAGGGGUGAGUGGAACUCCAGGUGGAGCGGUGAAAUGCGUAGAUAUCUGGAGGAAUACCGGUGGCGAAGGCGGCAUCCUGGACCGGCAUUGACGCUGAUGAGCGAAAGCUAGGGGAGCAAACGGG